Molecule: RNA transcript, 3339 nt
Organism: Echinops telfairi (small Madagascar hedgehog)
Lineage: Eukaryota; Metazoa; Chordata; Mammalia; Afrosoricida; Tenrecidae
Gene: GABRQ
Gene name: gamma-aminobutyric acid type A receptor subunit theta
Exons: 11
Source: RefSeq, a predicted model, not a curated record
AUGAGCAUCCGAGGCAUGCUGCGGGCCGCCGUGCUGCUGCUGCUCAUCCGGACCUGGCUAGCGGAGGGCAGCGCCCCCAACCCCACCGCCAGGUUCGAAUUCCACCACACGCCUGUUCCCGACGUCAGCCAGGACCUCUUCCAGUGCAAAAACUGCGCCAGUGAAGCCGUGGUUCACACGGUUUUGGAGAGAGUGUUGACGGGGUAUGACGUCCGUCUGAGACCAAAUUUUGGAGGUGAUCCCAUACCUGUGGGCAUAUCCAUCUACAUCACCAGGAUUGAACAGAUCUCAGAAAUGAAUAUGGACUAUACAAUCACCAUGUUCUUUCAUCAGACCUGGAAAGACCCCCGUUUAGCCUACUACGAGACCAACCUGAACCUGACAUUGGACCACCGGAUGCUCGACAAGCUGUGGGUCCCUGACUGCUACUUCCUGAACAGCAAGGACGCCUACGUGCAUGAUGUGACUGUGGAGAACCGUGUGUUUCAGCUUCACCCCGAUGGAACAGUGCGUUACGGCAUCAAACUCACCACCACUGCAGCGUGCUCCCUGGACCUGAAGAAAUUCCCUCUCGACAAGCAGGCCUGCAAGCUGGAAAUCGAGAGCUAUGGCUACACGGUUGAGGACAUCAUCUUAUUCUGGGAAGACGAUGAGCAAGCGAUCCACGGGACCGAGGAGCUCCACAUCCCUGAUUUCAGUUUCCUGGGCAAGACGGUGACAAUCAAGGAGGUGUACUUUUACACAGGCUCCUACAUGCGCCUGAUUCUGAGGUUCCAGGUCCAGAGGGAAGUGAACAGCUUCCUGGUACAGAUCUACUGGCCCACGGUCCUCACCACUGUGCUCUCCUGGCUGUCCUUUUGGAUGAACUGCGACUCUUCUGCUGCCAGGGUGACUGUGGGCUUGACUUCGAUGCUCAUCCUGACCACCAUCGACUCGCAUGUGAGGAACAAAUUGCCACAGGUGUCCUGUGUCAAGGCUAUCGACAUCUACAUCAUCGUGUGCUUCUUCUUUGUCUUCUUUUCCCUGAUGGAGUACGUCUACAUCAACUACCUAUUCUACAGCCGAGGGCCUCGGCGCCAUCACAGACGGCACAGGCGAGCCCGGAGGGUCAUCAAUCGCUACCGCUACCGGGAACUGGCGGUGCAGGACACGCAGCCCCCUGUGCCCCAGAGUCCCCAGGAGGAGAUGGUGGAGUUUGUCAAAGAGACUGACGAUGACGACGACAACAACAACGACAACAACGAUGACACUGAAAGUGCCGGGGAGACCUGCCAGCCUGGUGCCGAGGAUGAUGAUGGAGAGCUGACCAGUAUGGAAGACGACAUCAACUCUCUCCUCUCUGUCCCUGCUCUGGCCCGCCUGGCAAGUCCUGAGAGCUUCAGUUCUCUGUCCUCCUCACCAGAGCGAGCCCGGCUGGCCUCCUCAGAAAGCCUCAGCUCCCUCUGCUCCUCGUCCAGCCAGAGCUCCGAGGAGAGCCUCGACGAGCUCUCCUCUAGCUCGGCGCAGGCCCUGCUCCUCUAUGACGUCCUGUCCGACAUCCGCAACCGUGCCGAGGCCCGCAGCCAGGAUGAUCUGGAUGACAGCUCCAGCUCGGAUGAGAGCCAGGGCGCUGCUGAGCAGCCUCUGCUCGGCAGUGGCCCGCGGUGCGUGCAAGUAGUGAGUGGGGACCUGGAUGAGCUCUGCAGCCUGCCCGAUGAUGCCAGUGUCGAGAGUGGCUGCUCUUCCCCAGAUGAGAAUCCCCAGGGUGGUGAUGAUGGAGUCUUGAGCCUAGAGGAGGAGGAGAUCCUGGUCUGUGUUCAAGAGGAGGAUAGCGACUCCGAGUCUGGCGACAGUCACCCCCUGAGCCUGGGCUGCUCCUUCCACGGAGAGCUCUCCUUUAAGCUCUUCAAUCCCGAUUACGUCCCUAAGGUUGACCAGUGGUCCCGCUUCCUCUUCCCUCUGGCCUUUGGGCUGUUUAAUAUUGCCUACUGGGCCUACCAUAUCAACUAGACCCCCAGCGCCUGGCCCAUGCAGGGGAGCCCAGCUCUGCACCCAACACGGCUCCCUUGGGCCCCACUGUUGCUUCUUUUCCUGAGUCCAACCCCUCCCUCUGCUAUUCCCUGGGCAGGCAUAGGGGGUGGGGAGUCCUUGGCUGCAAAGGAAGGGUGUGGAGGGGAGCUAGGAGCAGAUAGAACACUAUUCUCUUUCCUGCCAGAAGCAGUUUCCCUUUGCAAAGCUUUCUACUGCCAGGAAGCUCAGAAAAGUCCCAAGAAAUGUUCAGAGGACCACAAGAAACAGGUUGGCAGGCAGAAAAUGGAUGUGACACAUUUCUGAGGGCUUCUCUGUCCCUCUGAGGUGUCCAACUGCCUUUUUCAUUACUUUACUUCCUCUGUGCUCACCCCCUAGGCCCCUUCCCACCUCCUGCUCCGGGCUUUAUGGGAGACUUGGGCUGGGUUGGGCUAGGGGACCCCAGGGAAACGACUGGCCAGGCUUGGAAAGACAGUGAGCUGGCUGUCAGAACUACCGGGGACAGUUGUAAGUGCCUUUCCCCAUUCCCCACCCCUUGUUCUGUUUGGAGUGUGGCAUUGAGGGGUGUGGGGAGUUGGAGGUACAGAGGGAGAUGUCAGGGAAUGUGAGAGAGCAGGCUUCUAGCGGGUCCCAGAAACUAGGAGAAGCAUUGGAGCUCUCUCUCAGCUUCCAAAUGCUACCAGGAGGGAGCCCUGCCUCUGUCUCCCUCAGUCAGCUCUGUCCCCGCUGCGCUGGUCCCUGGUCGCAGAGGAAGCCUGAGCUAGGAGAGUAAUUGGACAAUUGUCCGGAAUCCCUCUACUAACCUUUUUGAUUUGUCUAGUAAGUGCCAUCGAGCUCGCUGACCUGCCCCUUCGCUGGACUGUCAUAGAAGCCCACUAUCCCCACUGCUUCACAUUUGAGGACACGCAGCCGUGUCAUUCACAGAGCUGAAGGUGUUCAAGUGCAGUGCGGCUGGCUGUGGGACUGGACAUCAGGUGCCACCUUCUCACUGUCUCCCUGGUCCCAGCUCCCUCUGAAGAAAGCUUGGGACCGAGGCAGUAUAGUUCGGGAGCCAGAUGGUUCCAUAAGAACACGCACACGCACAGAUGCUGGGCAGCGAAAGCCCAGAAAAGAGCGGGAAGAUCAACACGCAAAUGUCGUGGACAUCCUGACCCACAAAGGGCCCUCUGUGGCAUCUUUCAGUAUAUUCGUUCACUAGCAGCAAGGCAGACCUUGACCACUCCCGACCCCCAAACGUAACACAUGACCAAGAUCUCACUUCUGACAAGUACACUCAGAUAAACUCUUGUAAAUAGAAAAAGGGGAAAUAAAUAUCUCUAUAAUGGCAAAUGA